GAUCAUGGCUCAGGAUGAACGCUGGCGGCGUGCCUAACACAUGCAAGUCGAACGAAGCACCUUACUUGAUUCUUCGGAUGAAGGUCUGGUGACUGAGUGGCGGACGGGUGAGUAACGCGUGGGUAACCUGCCCUGUACAGGGGGAUAACGGCUGGAAACGGCUGCUAAUACCGCAUAAGCGCACGAGGAGACAUCUCCUUGUGUGAAAAACUCCGGUGGUACAGGAUGGGCCCGCGU
Molecule: ribosomal RNA, 237 nt
Filed under: uncultured bacterium
Lineage: Bacteria
Description: partial 16S ribosomal RNA
Rfam family: Bacterial small subunit ribosomal RNA
Source: RNAcentral